GUCGAACGCUGGCGGCGUGCCUAACACAUGCAAGUCGAGCGGCGUUGGGAAGUGAGAAGUGCGAAGUAGGAAGUGGGAAUAGAAGAAAUUGGCGAAGCCAAUUUCAACGAAACCCACAUCAAACUUCUCGCCUCUCACUUCCCGAUGCAGCGGCGGACGGGUGAGUAACACGUAGGCAACCUACCCAUCACACGGGGAUAGCUCGGGGAAACCCGGGGUAAUACCCGAUACCUUUACUUACCGCAUGGUAAGUGAAGAAAGCGACUAAGCGGUGAUGGAUGGGCCUGCGGCCCAUUAGCUAGUUGGCGGGAUAACAGCCCACCAAGGCAACGAUGGGUAGCCGACCUGAGAGGGUGGCCGGCCACACUGGGACUGCGACACGGCCCAGACUCCUACGGGAGGCAGCAGUGGGGGAUAUUGCGCAAUGGGGGAAACCCUGACGCAGCGACGCCGCGUGAGCGAAGAAGGCUUCGGGUUGUAAGCUCAGUCAUCGGGGACGAAGAGGACGGUACCGAGGAGGAAGCCCGGCUACUACUUGCACACGGGGG
RNAcentral lists this ribosomal RNA (548 nucleotides) under Thermosediminibacter sp. TERISRB1004. Its description in RNAcentral is "bacterial SSU rRNA". It matches the Rfam family "Bacterial small subunit ribosomal RNA", at positions 28 to 517 of the family's 1533-position model. The record is from RNAcentral. Lineage: Bacteria; Bacillati; Bacillota; Clostridia; Thermosediminibacterales; Thermosediminibacteraceae. RNAcentral also lists the same sequence under 1 other name.